RNAcentral lists this long non-coding RNA (1219 nucleotides) under Ursus maritimus (polar bear). RNAcentral describes it as "lncRNA (ENSUMAG00000022719.1)". Lineage: Eukaryota; Metazoa; Chordata; Mammalia; Carnivora; Ursidae. The record is from RNAcentral.
GUAACCUGCUGGUACCGCUUCAUCUGGGAGGGGGCCCUGGUCCUCUUUGAGGUCUCGGCCGUCACCUGUCCUCUGUUAAGGAGCCAUCUGUGGAAGAUUCAGGGAGGCAAGCAGACCCGCCGAGGAGCCACCCUUUCUACGGCAGAGAACCCAGAAGCGCCACCACCAGACUCAUGAACGCUUGUGGCUGAGAUGUGGGGCGAGGAGUUGAGGACGGGGAAUCCCCUGGUCCUGUGCUCACGUUCAGAUCUCUCAAAGGAGCUAGAGCACCAGGCGCUUCGGAACUUUCUGAAGGUGAAAGGGGGCAUCCCAAACCAGCCAGCCGGAAUUGGGGGGGGGGUCAGCUAACAAAGGCCCCAUUUACAGCACUGCAUUCUUUGGAUCUUGUCUAGAAUCAUCCGCACGGCCCACCCCACCCGCCGUUGGACGGUGCGCUCCUUCGGACAAGGCUCCGUGGCAGACUCCUCUGUCUCUCCUGCGCCCAGCACAGUGCUUUCCCUCACCAGAGCCCCAGCGAGCAUUUGUUAACUCAACAGACAGGGUCCUUAAGUUUUAGGCCAUUUCAUGGCAUAACUGGAUGUACUAGAAAGAGCAUGCCUGGCUUUGGAAACAUGGAGGCCUGAGUUCAACCCCCAGCUGUGACACGGAUGAACUGUUCAAACUUAAAUCAGUCAAUUCCUCCAGGCCCCAGCAUCCUGAUCUGUACAACGAAAAGAAUCACAUAGUCUUCAAGAGUUAAGAGAAGAAAUGGCUAUGAAACCCCUAAUAAUCCGUCUGGUUCACUUAAUGCUCAAAUAUCCUUUACGUUCCCAUCUAGCCUGCUGAGGAUCGAGCAGAAAGAGCUUCUGAAGAAAAAUCAUCUGGGCUUUGCUGUGUUCUCAGGGGCACACAGGAGCAACACCAGUGUUCAGACAGAGUCCCUGUGUUUAGCCAUGGCACUUAUCGCUGGGUAGUUGAGGCAUCUUUGUGCCCUGGAGAGGCUGUGCCCUCUGACUGGGAGGGUGGCAUUGGAGGGCAGUUAGAGGUCACACAGACCUCGGACUGAUUAUUGACUCUGCCCCUUAUGAUGGCUUGGGCAAGUUUCUUAAUCUCUCCAAGACUCAGUUUCCCCUUUUAGUAAAUUGAGGGAAUAAUUUGGGGUGAAUUUGUGUGUUAAAUGAAAUAAUACAAAAUACCUUGCCCAGGAAUAGGCAUGUAGCAAGCGUUCAGUGAAUUUUAC